GACCGCGUGGCGCAAUGGAUAACGCGUCUGCCUUCGAAGCAGAAGAUUGCAGGUUCGAAUCCUGCCGUGGUCG
This 73-nucleotide transfer RNA is filed under the name Angiostrongylus costaricensis. It matches the Rfam family "tRNA". From Rfam's summary of the family: Transfer RNA (tRNA) molecules are approximately 80 nucleotides in length. The record is from Rfam by way of RNAcentral. Lineage: Eukaryota; Metazoa; Nematoda; Chromadorea; Rhabditida; Metastrongylidae.